AGUCGAGCGAAGCACUUAAGUUUGAUUCUUCGGAUGAAGACUUUUGUGACUGAGCGGCGGACGGGUGAGUAACGCGUGGGUAACCUGCCUCAUACAGGGGGAUAACAGUUAGAAAUGACUGCUAAUACCGCAUAAGACCACGGUACCGCAUGGUACAGUGGUAAAAACUCCGGUGGUAUGAGAUGGACCCGCGUCUGAUUAGGUAGUUGGUGGGGUAACGGCCUACCAAGCCGACGAUCAGUAGCCGACCUGAGAGGGUGACCGGCCACAUUGGGACUGAGACACGGCCCAGACUCCUACGGGAGGCAGCAGUGGGGAAUAUUGCACAAUGGAGGAAACUCUGAUGCAGCGACGCCGCGUGAAGGAUGAAGUAUUUCGGUACGUAAACUUCUAUCAGCAGGGAAGAAAAUGACGGUACCUGACUAAGAAGCCCCGGCUAACUACGUGCCAGCAGCCGCGGUAAUACGUAGGGGGCAAGCGUUAUCCGGAUUUACUGGGUGUAAAGGGAGCGUAGACGGCACGGCAAGCCAGAUGUGAAAGCCCGGGGCUCAACCCCGGGACUGCAUUUGGAACUGCUGAGCUAGAGUGUCGG
RNAcentral lists this ribosomal RNA (592 nucleotides) under uncultured bacterium. RNAcentral describes it as "bacterial SSU rRNA". It matches the Rfam family "Bacterial small subunit ribosomal RNA", at positions 60 to 652 of the family's 1533-position model. The record is from RNAcentral.